This 292-nucleotide ribosomal RNA is filed under the name uncultured bacterium. RNAcentral describes it as "partial 16S ribosomal RNA". It matches the Rfam family "Bacterial small subunit ribosomal RNA", at positions 505 to 796 of the family's 1533-position model. The record is from RNAcentral.
GUGCCAGCCGCCGCGGUAAGACAGAGGUGCCGAGCGUUAGGCGGAAUCACUGGGCUUAAAGCGUGUGUAGGCGGAUUCCUAAGUACCUUGUGAAAUCCCAUGGCUCAACCAUGGAACUGCUUGGUAUACUGGGUGUCUUGAGCCAGCUAGGGGCUACCGGAACAAAUGGUGGAGCGGUGAAAUGCGUAGAUAUCAUUUGGAACGCCAAUGGUGAAAACAGGUAGCUGGGGCUGUGCUGACGCUGAGACACGAAAGCCAGGGGAGCGAACGGGAUUAGAUACCCUGGUAGUCC